CUACCGCUUAAGGAUGGGCUCGCGCCCCAUUAGCUAGUUGGUGAGGUAAUGGCUCACCAAGGCUGCGAUGGGUAGCCGACCUGAGAGGGUGAUCGGCCACACUGGGACUGAGACACGGCCCAGACUCCUACGGGAGGCAGCAGUGAGGAAUUUUCUGCAAUGGACGAAAGUCUGACAGAGCGACGCCGCGUGCGCGAUGAAGGUCUUCGGAUCGUAAAGCGCUGUCGGAGGGGAAGAAAGACCCUGGUGCUAAUACCAUCAGGGAGUGACGGUACCCUCCAAGGAAGCCCCGGCUAACUCCGUGCCAGCAGCCGCGGUAAUACGGGGGGGGCAAGCGUUGCUCGGAAUCAUUGGGCGUAAAGGGCGCGUAGGCGGCCUGCUAAGUUGAUUGUGAAAUCCCACGGCUCAACCGUGGAACUGCGACCAAUACUGGCGGGCUUGAGUGUGGGAGAGGAAAGCGGAAUUCCCAGUGUAGCGGUGAAAUGCGUAGAUAUUGGGAGGAACACCAGUGGCGAAGGCGGCUUUCUGGACCACAACUGACGCUGAGGCGCGAAAGCUAGGGGAGCAAACAGGAUUAGAUACCCUGGUAGUCCUAGCUGUAAACGAUGGGCACUUGGUGUGUCGGGUGUCGAUCCCCGACGUGCCGAAGCUAACGCAUUAAGUGCCCCGCCUGGGGAGUACGGUCGCAAGGCUGAAACUCAAGGAUUUGACGGGGGCCCGCACAAGCGGUGGAGCAUGUGGUUUAAUUCGAUGCAACGCGAAAACCUUACCUGGUUUUGAAAUAUUGGAGGACUGUCCUGUAGACA
Molecule: ribosomal RNA, 806 nt
Filed under: uncultured Geobacteraceae bacterium
Lineage: Bacteria; Pseudomonadati; Thermodesulfobacteriota; Desulfuromonadia; Geobacterales; Geobacteraceae
Description: bacterial SSU rRNA
Rfam family: Bacterial small subunit ribosomal RNA
Source: RNAcentral